This 513-nucleotide ribosomal RNA is filed under the name Triticum aestivum (bread wheat). RNAcentral describes it as "partial small subunit ribosomal RNA". The record is from RNAcentral. Lineage: Eukaryota; Viridiplantae; Streptophyta; Magnoliopsida; Poales; Poaceae.
AUGGUUCAACCACCUCGUUCGAUCCCCCCGCCUCGUACGACAGCCAUCGCGCGGUGUCCCACACGCCCGCACAAAAUCCAUCCCGCAAGCCCAAAAAAAACAAGGGCAACUCAUCCGAUAUUCGGCCCAUGGACCACCAGUCAAACGAGCCAAACCCCACGAUCACACGCCCAGCCAACAAACAAAACAGUUCAGCAACCCACGAACGAGGUCCAUCUACCAAAAAAAAAAAUCUACCAAAAAUCAAACCAUCGAACGAGCUCCAUCGACCCGCCAACGCACGUCGCCACCAGGGACAGAAACGCCAGUUCUUCCUCGCGUAGGAGCUCCAUCGACCCAGCUGUGCAAUCAGCACAACUAGACCGCAACCUCGGCGUCCGAACCACAACCUUCGCUCGACGGCUGUUGCGAGGCGACGGCUGUUGCUGCAAAGGACGGAGAUCCACCUUUGUUAUGUUCAACGGUGCCCAUCAUGCCCUAGGUUUGCCAUCAUCAAUUGUUUCAGCAAUGUAG